UGGUGGGGGCGAGCUAUAAUGCAAGUCGAGCGAACAGAUAAGGAGCUUGCUCCUUUGACGUUAGCGGCGGACGGGUGAGUAACACGUGGAUAACCUACCUAUAAGACUGGGAUAACUUCGGGAAACCGGAGCUAAUACCGGAUAACAUAUUGAACCGCAUGGUUCAAUAGUGAAAGGCGGCUUUGCUGUCACUUAUAGAUGGAUCCGCGCCGUAUUAGCUAGUUGGUAAGGUAACGGCUUACCAAGGCAACGAUACGUAGCCGACCUGAGAGGGUGAUCGGCCACACUGGAACUGAGACACGGUCCAGACUCCUACGGGAGGCAGCAGUAGGGAAUCUUCCGCAAUGGGCGAAAGCCUGACGGAGCAACGCCGCGUGAGUGAUGAAGGUCUUCGGAUCGUAAAACUCUGUUAUCAGGGAAGAACAAAUGUGUAAGUAACUGUGCACAUCUUGACGGUACCUGAUCAGAAAGCCACGGCUAACUACGUGCCAGCAGCCGCGGUAAUACGUAGGUGGCAAGCGUUAUCCGGAAUUAUUGGGCGUAAAGCGCGCGUAGGCGGUUUUUUAAGUCUGAUGUGAAAGCCCACGGCUCAACCGUGGAGGGUCAUUGGAAACUGGAAAACUUGAGUGCAGAAGAGGAAAGUGGAAUUCCAUGUGUAGCGGUGAAAUGCGCAGAGAUAUGGAGGAACACCAGUGGCGAAGGCGACUUUCUGGUCUGUAACUGACGCUGAUGUGCGAAAGCGUGGGGAUCAAACAGGAUUAGAUACCCUGGUAGUCCACGCCGUAAACGAUGAGUGCUAAGUGUUACGGGGUUUCCGCCCCUUAGUGCUGCAGCUAACGCAUUAAGCACUCCGCCUGGGGAGUACGACCGCAAGGUUGAAACUCAAGGAAUUGACGGGACCCGCACAGCGGUGGAGCAUGUGGUUUAAUUCGAAGCACGCGAGACCUUACCAAAUCUUGACAUCCUUUGACUGCUCUAGAGAUAGAGUCUUCCCCUUCGGGGGACAAAGUGACAGGUGGUGCAUGGUGUCGUCAGCUCGUGUCGUGAGAAUGUUGGUUAAGUCCCGCCACGAGCGCA
Molecule: ribosomal RNA, 1077 nt
Filed under: Staphylococcus sp. PMS08
Lineage: Bacteria; Bacillati; Bacillota; Bacilli; Caryophanales; Staphylococcaceae
Description: bacterial SSU rRNA
Rfam family: Bacterial small subunit ribosomal RNA
Source: RNAcentral